Phlebotomus argentipes is the source of this 3252-nucleotide RNA transcript. It is a transcript of the gene named trehalase, with no coding region annotated. The record is from RefSeq and is a predicted model, not a curated record. The transcript is spliced from 7 exons. Lineage: Eukaryota; Metazoa; Arthropoda; Insecta; Diptera; Psychodidae.
CUGCUGAAGCUCGUCGCUGGUCGACCGAUAAACUCAGGCUAAUCCUCGCGGGGGCUGUUCAGUUGCUCUCCGGCCAUUCAGUGGAGCGAAAGUGUGUGUUGGAUAAUCGGACACAGAUUUGUUCUCUGGACAACAAGACAGAGUGAAUAUCCGUUGCAUUGGGAGACAAUCAUUUCCGCAUUAGUACACGUGAAUCUGCGCCAUGCGCUAGAAUUUUUCCCGCCUUGGCAGAGAGAAUCUGCCGCGAAACUUCUCCAGAGUGAAAAUGUGCAAAAACUCUGCUAUUGUGACACUAAAUUGCGUUAGAAGCGAAAAUAUGUGUGGAAAAAGUCGAUAUAGUUUGCAGUAAUAAAAUUAAUUUGAUAAUAAGAAGUUUAAGUGAUAAUUCAACGAGACCAAAAAGCGAAAUUGGAAACUUUUUAAAUACAUUAUCACAUCAUUUCGUAGAGACACUUUAUAAGAGCCCAAUAAAUUGCUUUGUGUGUUGAAAACAGAAGAAACACAUUUUUGCAGUUUCACCAGUGACAAUUAAGAGACGAUCAAUUGUGCAAAUAUUUUAUCUUCUCGCGUGAACAAUAAUAAUAUUUUGCUCAACUCUUGCAACAUCACGGCAUUGAUAAAAGUGAUAAGAACCACAAAGACGAGCGAGAAGAAAACUGAAGUGAAGUGAUAAGAGCCAAGUCACACAACGACUUUCAGCUGAAGUGAUUAGAAGACAAUUAGCGUCGUGAAGUGCAAUUUGAUAGCGAUGAGUCGCUUAGUGGAGAAUCUCCUGAUACUGGGAGGAGUGCUUAUUGUGAUAAAUAGUCAUGCUCAAGGAUUUCUAGUCACUAGACAAGUCGAGGGGGAGGACAUCUGUGAUAGUGAAAUUUAUUGCCAUGGACCCCUUCUGGACACCAUCCAGAUGGCGCAUCUCUACAAUGACUCCAAGACUUUCGUGGACAUGAAGCUGAAACAGAGGCCAGAAGUCACGCUGCAGCUCUUCCAAGAGUUCAUGGCGACGCACAAUCAACAGCCGACAAGGGAGCAGAUUCUCGGCUUCGUGGAGGCCAAUUUCGACAAGGAGGGAUCGGAAUUUGAGCCCUGGACCCCUCUCGAUUGGCACCAAAACCCAAAGUUCCUCGAGAAUGUGCAGGACCCGAAGCUGAGGGAGUUCGGUCGGGAUCUCAAUGAUUUGUGGCUGAAAUUGGGCAGAAAGAUGACCAAACAAGUGGAAGAACAGCCCGAACUGUUCUCCAUCAUCCACGUGAAUAACCCAGUAAUUGUUCCCGGUGGACGAUUCAGGGAAUUCUACUACUGGGACUCGUACUGGAUCAUCAAGGGACUUCUCUACUCUGAGAUGUUCUCGACCGCCAAAGGGAUGCUACAGAACUUCCUGGAUAUCAUCGCGACGUUUGGCUUCAUUCCCAACGGCGGACGUGUGUACUACCAGAGAUCACAGCCACCGCUCCUCGCUGGCAUGGUCAAGGCCUAUGUGGAGUUCACGGGCGAUGAGGAGUUUGCCAUCCAGGCAGUUCCGCUGUUGGAGCAUGAAUUCAACUUCUGGCUCAACAAUCACACAGUUCAGUGCCUGGGACACGACAUGUUCAUCUACGGUGACAAGUCCCGAGGACCGCGGCCCGAGUCCUAUCGCGAGGACGUGGAGACGUCGCAGGACUUCCCCACGGAUGCGGCCAAGGAGGAACACUACUCAGAACUGAAGGCCGCCGCCGAGAGUGGCAUGGAUUUCUCAAGUCGCUGGUUCAUCGACGAGGCGGGCACGAACAAGGGCGAUCUGAGGAAUCUCAAGACGCGCUCCAUUGUGCCGGUGGAACUGAACGCCAUCCUGUUCUGGAACGCCAAGAUCAUCGCUGAGUUCUACAUGUUGGCGCACAAUGUGCAGAAGGCGUUCGAGUUUGAGAAUCGCGCCACACAGAUUGCCGAAGGUGUUCAGGCGUGCUUUUGGCACGAGGACAUUGGCGCCUGGCUGGACUACGACUUGAUCAAUUCACGCCGCCGCAACUACUUCACGCCCACAAAUCUCUCGCCGCUGUGGAUGCGCUGCUUCAACGAGGCGCUCGAGGCCAACAUCACCGAGAAGGUGUUGCAGUACAUCGACAAGGAGAGACUCGACGAGUAUCCUGGUGGCGUGCCCAACACCAUGGAGCGCACUGGUGAGCAGUGGGACUUCCCCAAUGUGUGGGCGCCCAUGCAGUACAUCCUGAUCGCCGGCCUGGACAACCUCAAGGAUCAGAGGGCGAAGGAUUUGGCGCGCAGCUGGGCCACAAGGUGGGUUCACUCCAACUACAUCGCCUUCAAUGACACCCACGCCAUGUUUGAGAAGUACGACGCCGAGGAAUUGGGUGGUCAUGGCUCUGGUGGUGAAUAUGAUGUGCAAAUCGGCUUUGGCUGGUCCAACGGAGUGAUAAUUGAGCUCCUCGACAAAUACGGAAGUGUUCUCUCAGCGCCAGGUUCGAAGAAAAGGGAUCGUAGUGAAAUGGAAAAUUUCUUGUAACAUCCAUCAUGUCUCUCAUUCGUUGGCACACACAAACCCACAGGUUCUUCGUCUUAUGGAUUGAAGCCAUUAAGUGCCUUUUUCAUUGCCACUGUGGCUCUCUUUGGUACAAUUUUGUCGAGGAUUUUCGGGUGAGAUGAAACUCCACCGUGAUUUCAUGACUGAGUGUUUACUGCAUAAGUGCAUGCAUUUAUGUGCCAGUUCUCUUCAGAGGGACACACUAAAAUCCUCCACAUUUCUUCACAAAAUGUACACAAUGAAGGAAAAAUGGUGAUAACAGGGAAUAUUAUUGUAACAAUCAGUCGAUAUAGUGACACGUAAAGCAAGAUUACAUUGAAUAAUCAUAUCACAAUUUAUAAAGAAUUUAAAAAUAGGCAUUUUAAGUUUGAUUGUUUGUCUUCUCGCAAAAGCAUAACUUCCCAAAAAUGUAUGUGUAAAUAUGUAAGUUUAAUGCAGUGUUUCCCUCUUUGUUUUGUCUAUUAUUAUUUUCAGCUUUAAAAGAGAAAUUUGUACACCUUGUCAUAUUUUUUUCUGCUAUAAUACUUGUGAAAUAGAAUAUUUUCUUAGGUGUUAAAUAUUUUUACACUCAAUUAUACAAGAGGACGAGAUAGGAAAACCCACACGCGUUUUGUGACAAUCAAGAGAGGCAUGUUGAAAGUGUAGUUGUUAAUAAAAUUGUUAUGAGCAUAAGAAUGCGAGAUUAGAAUUUAGAUUAAUUUUAUCCCUCCCAGUAUUAGAUGCUAAAGUGUAAAUAAAAA